RNAcentral lists this transfer RNA (62 nucleotides) under uncultured Selenomonas sp. It matches the Rfam family "tRNA", at positions 6 to 65 of the family's 71-position model. From Rfam's summary of the family: Transfer RNA (tRNA) molecules are approximately 80 nucleotides in length. Their secondary structure includes four short double-helical elements and three loops (D, anti-codon, and T loops). The record is from RNAcentral. Lineage: Bacteria; Bacillati; Bacillota; Negativicutes; Selenomonadales; Selenomonadaceae.
GAUAGCUCAGCCGGUAGAGCACCUGACUGUUAAUCAGGCUGUCGUAGGUUCGAAUCCUGCUC